This is a long non-coding RNA of Drosophila sulfurigaster albostrigata, 1089 nucleotides long. RefSeq lists it as uncharacterized. The record is from RefSeq and is a predicted model, not a curated record. Lineage: Eukaryota; Metazoa; Arthropoda; Insecta; Diptera; Drosophilidae. The transcript has 2 exons.
UUUCGCUCAGCUGCCAGCAUACAUACAGCUUCUUCUUUAUGCCUAGAUAGAGUAGGAUGUGAAGCUUGUUCUCUUGUAGGCAAUGUGCAUUCAAAUGCACACGCACACACACGCAAGCAGAUUAAAUGUACCGUUAGGUGUGUGAGCGCGAGCGUCGCUAAUAACAAUUAAUUAGAAAUUAAACCCGUAUAUGGGCAAAACUAAUAUUUCUAUCGAAAAUGAGUCUAAACUUGUAAUCUAUGUUUGAGUAGUUUUUUUUUUGUGUGUGAACUGAUAGCGCUUUUUGGCCAUCUUUAAUUUCACACACACAUACACAUAAUACAUGCAUGUACAUUUAUUUAUUCACUCUUGCGUAAACUUUCUAGAUGGGCUGUGGGAGUGAGUCAGAGAAACAAGCACACUCACACAUACAACAAUAAGAGUAGCGAUUCAAACAGCGGCAAACAGCUGAGAAGUUUAAAGAAGAAGACGAUGUUAAAGCAGCUAUCGGGAGCAGCAGAUCAAGCAUUCUUCUUGUCACAUCAGUGGAAAUGCACUUAUUUUGGAUUUGCGCAUUUGCAAUAAAAAUACCAUGUAGUUAAAUUGAAAUGGAUAUGAAAUCAUCAUUAUAAAUAUAGCAAAAAACAAGCACACAUUACACACACUUGCAUGUGUGUGCGAGAGUGAAUUUAACAAACAAAAAGUGAUUCACGUAAAAAUAGCCAACCAACAAAAAUACAUAUCUUAACAGCUACAGCUGUCUUCUGUCCUCGAACACUUAGCGCCCACACAUACAAAGUCACAAAGUAUAUAUACAGCCUGGCCACAGGAGCGGAAAGAAUAAAAAAAACCCCACCCAACGUAACGACGACAAACGCAGCCGGCACUUUUCGCUGCUUACUGCACUGGCUAGCGAUUUUUGCACACAACUCAGAAAAUGUUCAUCAAUUAAUUUUACGCACAUUUUGUUGUUUAUAAUUAAAGUGAAGCACGACAAACAAACACACACAUAUAUAUCUAUUAUUGUUCACUUACCACAAAAAGUAAUAUAAUGCGAAGGUAAGCAAAUUAUUAACUACACAGAUUUUAGUAGAGCCGCCUCAAACGUUG